Molecule: ribosomal RNA, 253 nt
Filed under: uncultured bacterium
Lineage: Bacteria
Description: partial 16S ribosomal RNA
Rfam family: Bacterial small subunit ribosomal RNA
Source: RNAcentral
UACGGAGGGGGCAAGCGUUAUUCGGAAUUAUUGGGCGUAAAGGGCGCGUAGGCGGCUUGACAAGUCAAAGGUGAAAUCCCUCGGCUCAACUGAGGAACUGCCUUUGAAACUGUCUGGCUUGAGGCCGGGAGGGGGUAGCGGAAUUCCCAGUGUAGCGGUGAAAUGCGUAGAUAUUGGGAGGAACACCAGUGGCGAAGGCGGCUCACUGGACCGGUACUGACGCUGAUGCGCGAAAGCGUGGGGAGCAAACGGG